Long non-coding RNA from Brassica rapa (field mustard), 3959 nucleotides. RefSeq lists it as uncharacterized. NCBI's taxonomy places the organism in Eukaryota, Viridiplantae, Streptophyta, Magnoliopsida, Brassicales, Brassicaceae. The record is from RefSeq and is a predicted model, not a curated record.
CAGUCAUAUUAGCAGUACAUAAUUUCAACCAUAAUGAGAAACCUAAAUCUAACAAUUGGUUUACCCAAACAUAUUCAUGAGAGACAAAGUCAUGAUGGUGUGAAAUAAACUCAAAUGAAACAUAAAACACAAAUAGAUAGAGUAAUAGAAAUAAAGGAGUUCAAGAUCUUCUCUGUUUUGCAGUGUCAGAUCUAUCUCUCCAAUCCUAAGCUCUCCAAAUGGUAGUCAAAAUGCUCAUUUUCCAGAACUAGGUCUUUUGCAAGUGUCUGCCUAGAAAUGAUACAAAACCCUAGUACAUAUAGCCUAACAGGCGGCCAGGGACUUAAGUUGUAAAUAAUAAAUCUUCUGGGAAAUGAAAUCUUUUAAUUUGCGAUUUCAUCCGUGUGACUGCGUAUCGAUCGAUGCACAUAUAUGUAUGUCGAUCGAUGGUAAGUGAUUACGAUCGACCGAUGUGCUCUUCAAGCGUCGAUCGAUUUUCCUUGCGCAAAAACAUUCCAAAAUGUCCCAAAAGUAUCAUUUCCUUCCAUCAGGUGAAUAAACCUGUAUUUGCUUUGAAAAGACUCUAAAACAUGAUUAAUACAUCUUAAAACCUUUAUAUACCAUGUAUAAAAACGGGUGAAAAUCAUGGUAUAUCAGCUGGUAAGACAACCCCAGCCACCACUGCGCCUAUGGCCAACGCAUAAGCAAACGCUAUAGUGCCUGAAAAAAUUAAAAAACCUAGCCGCGACUUUUCGCCACAGGAAGUGCUACUAAACGAGCUCGCGAUUUCUUUGUCUAAACAUAAAGUAAAACGAUAAAUUUUAUCAAAUCCCGUAAGUUUGGCUCAAUUUCAAGCUAAAGAAGUCUCCAAUCGUAAGGUUUUUACCAAAACACGUUUUCCGAAAACUUUUCGGAAAGGUAAAACUUGUUCUCCUAAAAACCACAGAAAACCCCUAAGUUAAUCGCAGAAAAAGAAAGCGCAGCAAAUCGAUUACACAGCUCGAUCGUUACGUAGCCACUGAGCACGCACACGUAGCGACCGAGCACGCACACAUAACGACCGAGCUCAAGCCAAGCUCUGUCUCUACGUAGCGGCCGAGCACGCACACAGCUCAGUCGCUACGUAGCCACCGAGCACGCACACGGCUUGGUCGCUACGUAGCGACUAAGCUCAAGCCAAACUCGGUCGCUACUUAGCAACCGAGCUCAAGCCAAUUUUGGUCGCUACGUAGCGACCAAGCACGCACACAGCUCGAUCGGUACGUAGCGACCUAACACGCACACGGCUCGGUCUACGUAGCGACCGAGCUCAAGCCAACUCUCCACUCGCUACAUAGCAACCUGUCAGACCUCCAACUCGCUAUGUAGCGACCUGUCAGGCCUCAAAAAGAUUCUCCUAUGCAUUCUCUUUUGAAUCCCAAUCGAAUCACUUUUUCGUUUCGUCUUAUUUGGAAUUUCCAUUGAGAUUUUACGACGAAAACAAGUUAGACUCGUCUAAACUUCUUGGCUUGCUCCUACUCGCUACAUAGCGACCUGUCAGACCUCCAACUCACUACGUAGCGACCUGUCAGGCCUCAAAAGGGUCCUCCUUUGGGUUCUCUUUUGAAUCCUCAUCGAAACGCUUUUCGUUUCGUCUCAAUUGGAAUUUCUGGUGAGAUUUUACGACAAAAACAAGUUAGACUCGUCUAAACUCCUUGGCUUGCUCGCCCUUACCUCCAUCUUUGCGUUCUCCUACGAAUCUAGAUCGAAACUAAUGUGUCAUGAGAAUCCUCUGAAUAAACCUAUGAAAAACGUUUUGCGACUAGAUCGUAAUGAAAUAAACUUCGGUAAAACUCCAUGAGUAACUCCAAGCAACUUUCACCUAAGAUCGAAAUCACAAUAGAAAAGUUAUUCGUAAAACCCGCAGAAACAACGCUACUUUGACAUAUAUAUAUACAUAUCACCGAUUUACAACCUUUGUAAAACCGGUACCCAUUACUUACGCAAAAAAUCCUUCGUACAAUUAGACCAAGUCUUACGUAGAAACUUUCUAAAGUUAACAUAACAGGCUUUAUGAAGAACCCUGCGGCUCACUGGCUUCUGCCUUUCUUUUCCCUGGGUCACAUCCGAGAAGGCAGUCAUCCCGCCGCUGACUCCACACUGGUUAUGUAGCAAACCUCUUGGGCUUCGUCUUCCUCAGACAAAAAAGACUCGAUUUUCAUAAGACUAUAGGUCACAUUAUACGAAAUAUUCGUCGUAUAACUGAAACCUAGAGCGGAGAAUCGUUUUCUACGACUAUCAGCCAUAUUAGCAUGGAUAACCCUGGAAAACUUGGCCUAUCAAUCUCGACAAGCGCUCUUUGGCCCUCGGUUAAUUACGCCUUGCAGUUAAAAUCCGAACCAGAAUUUGACUUCCCCUUAAGACAAUCGUAAACUAACACGACCUUAAUGUUAACACGAAAGUACCAUGGUCGGAUGCAUGACCUACAAUGUCUUUGGCUAUCUGAGUGAAAACAUCCUUCACGCCAAGCCAAAGUAUUUGAGAAACCUUCGCUCCAUCACUUAACGGCUAAACGACUAUCCGCGAUUUGGCUAAAAAAGUCAUGUGACUAUCAAGAAAAUAAUUAUCGUAUAACCCAUAGUCGGAAUUCAUAUGAUAAAUCCUUCAUAACAAAACUCAGUCCUAACAACCAAACAAUUAACGGAAAACCAAAACUUGUCGACAAUCGACCAAGUUCAAUAAGUUCCACCGAUAACUUUAUAGCCCGCUAUGUUUUACCCGUAAAGUGCGGCAUGCAAGGAAAACUCGUAACAGAGCUCCUAGAGCUAUACGAAACAUCCUCAAAUGCACGAAAUAAAAUCUCGGAGGGCCGACUCUUCACAAAGCACAGUAAAGAAAAACGCUUCUUCCCAGGGACAAAUCUACGCGACCCCUUGAUCCUAAUCCCUCAAUCAUAAAUCAGACUACUUAACAUCAAAAGUGGAACAGCAAUUUUGGCUGCGAACAUCCGCAGAUAAACCAAGACGUUUCACCAACGCAGGGUUAAGACCAAACCUUUGCAACACCGGAACACCUUCAAGCCCGCAAAUAUUUCAAGCACGAAACGCGGCGUACAAAAUAAUAACAAAUCUUCAGCAACGCGAGAUGUCGCAGAUGCCUGAAGAUUCGUUCUUCGACGAAAUAUUCUUCCUCGAUAAAAACACCUUCUUGGAAGACCAGAAAGUCAUACACACUAACAUCUUCUCAAAACGUAUCCUUCGCGAAGGAUAAUAGCGCUAUAAAAGAAACCCAAAAUUUUUGGUCAGCACUUCCAGGAGGCUUAAAAAUUAUCCUUGGAGAGAUGCUCGGUUCCAACCAUACAAGUCGUAUAAGCCGAGAACCUAUCGCGGACUUUAAAUCGGUAUGGAAUCAGGAUGAAACUGAAACGGGAUACGUAAGUCGAAUUAGUCAUUGCAGUUCUAAAACGAGGAGUAAACCUAGGUCUUGCCCUAAACCCAACAUGCUGGUCUCUAACAUCUCAACGCAUGAUAUCCAAAAGUGAUAACGAGAUCUUAAAUCAUGUCCCUUCGUCAAUAAUCUAAUUCUCUCGAAAAUAUUUGAAACAUCAAAUUCUUCGAACAAUGCCAUCUAGAAUGAGCAGAAAAUACGACGAUUCAACAAAAGAGUUAGAUACGAGCUGACAACUCGUAUUGUUCCCUCUACAUUCGCACAAAUACAAACUUGAUCUUCAAAAAAAAAAACCGCAAAGCGACAUGGAUUUGAAGCCGCAUGGCUCAGUCCUGAAAACGUAAAUACGGCCAAACUCGGCCAAAGCAAAUAGCCUUCAAGACUAAUCUCGUGGCCGACAAAGAUCCACUACAAAAUGCCAUCAACGAUGACAUAGCUAAACCGUAAAUGUCUCACUGGAAAACAGAUUGUAAGCAUCUUAACUCCAAAACGAACUACGAAAGGCUUGAUCCCUUCGACAAGGGUAAGUAGGCAGCCUUCAUAAGGCGUAGCCC